This is a non-coding RNA of Drosophila virilis, 2171 nucleotides long. The record is from RefSeq and is a predicted model, not a curated record. NCBI's taxonomy places the organism in Eukaryota, Metazoa, Arthropoda, Insecta, Diptera, Drosophilidae.
GCAAAGCGACUCCGGUGUUUCCGACAUAAACAUCAUUUGCGUAGAGAGGGGACGUGCGUGUUUUAUAUGCCUCGACAAGACAUUAAAAUACGCACACGCCCCUUUUCAUGUGAAUGUAACGGGUGGUUUUGUGGCUAGGGGCGGCCGGUAUGGUAGCAGAAGAUGCUUUUUUUUCAGUUUUCCUUCAGUUGGGAAAGUGAAUUCAAGCAAAGUGCAAGGCGAACUCAGCCAAAGCUGGUGGGCCUCAGAUGUUGUUUGGUUGCUCAAGACGCAGCCGAUGAUGAUGGGCUGACUGCAAAAGGAGAUUUCAAUAUCAUAAAAAACCGUAUUAAGAGAAUCUCAUAUUGAGAAUCGUAAAGUUUUUACGACCGUUUAAUGGACUCUUGCAGUAAGCGUGAGUAUUUACGCGCUGCUUAAAAGCGGUAAAAUAUGGCCAAGUGGUGUCAGGGGACAAACACGCACACUCCAAUUCACGGGCCCUCUAAUACACGCAGCUGAUAGCUAACACGUUUGUGGCAGGAGAACGAAGACCGGAGAAUGGUCCGAGCUCCGAGGAUGAGCCAAAUAAGUGCCCGGAUAACAUUUAAAAGUAAAAACGUCAAUUUUGUAUAUUUUCUGGCCUGUCUUGCCUUUCAAUUACCGGUAAAGGGGCAGACAUUUGGCAAUUCCCAGAUAGUGACUGCAGCGCCAUCUAGCUGCGAUAUGCUGCACCAAUGCUUAACCACUUGCUGCGUGCAGUCAGUCAAGCAGUGCCCGGAAAGCAGUUCAAAUGCGUCCUUGCUAUUAUCUAUGUGGGCAGGCAAGGAGCGAAGGUGUUUACAGUUGCGAUUGCAAUGAAAAUGCGUUUGCCAAGCGAUAAAAGAGACGGCAAUAAAAGAUAAACGGUUGGAAUCAGAGUCGCUUUUGCUAGCAUGUGGGAGGAGUCGAGGCGCAUGUUGAUUGGCGAAAAAUGCGCUUUCGUUUUACCUAGGAUCUACAGCAUUAUUCUGCUAUGCCCAAGUACUUGAUCCUUUUUCGUGUUGUUUACAGUGUUUUGCCGAUCGGAUAUCGCAGUUGUGCUUUGGAUAUUUGCUGCAGGGCAAGACUUACUUCCUAGUCGUGCACACUCAACUAUGGAACUCUUAGAUUCCAUAGCAGAUUUAAAACUGGAAUAACGUCUCUGUCAGCAUGCUCUUGGCCGCUACCAGCAUCAGCCAUGCCAGUCCAGCAAAUCUGUGGCAUGGUGAUAUGGAUUCGCAUCGGCUUCGCCAAUGACGCGCUUGGACUGUGGAUAGGGCUAAAGGAGAGUGGUGCGGUGCAGCUGGGGACGACACUGUGUCACAUUUAUUUUCCAAUUUACGGGCAACUAAUGGCAAUAAUGAAUGCAUUUUAUAGGCCCAUUCAUAAUGUGCCGAGACAAUCGAAACUCGGCGCGAACGCGAAUUACACAAAUCGGGCAAUUUCUGUGCGACUUCCAGUCAAGCCAAAAAACAACCUCACAUUGAAUCACACAAAUGACUUUCAGGUCUCGCAAAAUGGAGCUGCGACCAGCCCCGUCGACCAUCUUUGGGAUGGUUGCUCAAGUUAAAUUAGAAAUGGUCGCAGCCACCAAGUAUUCAUCAUGGGACUGAGAGAAACACAGAACGCCGCAACUAAACUUAGGAUCGUUAAUCUGAAUGCCUGCAUUUUUGAGAAUUAUUUUUAACGCUUCUGCGGGAGAAGCUUCAAACCCAAAUUCAACACUUCAAUGCCGCGAACACGAGACGCUGACUGCUCGCCAAGUCUGAGGAGAGCCGACGGGGCUGCUUUCGGCCAUUGCAAGUUUUAUGGCCAUAUUAAUGGGUUUUUGAAGCGAUAAAGCGCGAAAUUUUUAGAGAGUGAACGUGAGCCCAAAAUGCUUUAAGCUUCGCUGUCGCAGACUCGUGUAAUUAUGAUCGAUUCAUGCGCAAAACCCGUCGGACGGGAUCAAAUCAUUAUUCAAUUAUGUUUUAUGCUGAUUUUAAUGUGAAUGGACAAAAGGGUUUUAUGGAUUGGCUAACUUUACUAUUCACGACUAUUAACUAAAUUUGUUUAAGUGCUCACAGAUUAUCCGCUUCUUUGAUUUAUAUUAUAUAAUGAUAAUAAUAAUAUGUAAAGAAAUGUGCAUGUUAGAUAACAGAAUAAAUUGAAAUACCAACCCUUGGUGCUUUGAA